RNAcentral lists this long non-coding RNA (296 nucleotides) under Rattus norvegicus (Norway rat). RNAcentral's name for it is "long non-coding RNA NONRATT025575". The record is from RNAcentral. Lineage: Eukaryota; Metazoa; Chordata; Mammalia; Rodentia; Muridae.
AGCGGCGGGGGCGGUCAGGCUGCGGGACCGGGCGGUUACCGGGUACACAGAGCCAGGGGCCGGAGCGGGCGCAUCGCCAACGCGAUCACGUGCGCAGCCCCACCUCUCCUGCGUGCCUCCUCCGCGCGCUGCUCUCCCCAUUCAUAAAUUCUCCGUCGGCUCCGCGGCCACCGAGCUCCAGAGCCAACCGGGAGAGCCGUGUUAUCUGCCGCCCGCCCUCCCGCCGCCCAUGGGCCGCACGCCCCGGCGCUGAGCCUCAAAAUGCAGCCCACGGCCACCAUGGCCACAGCGGCCGC